CGNGNAUGGAAANGGCGAAAGCCUGGAUCCAGCCAUGCCGCGUGUGUGAAGAAGGUCUUCGGAUUGAUAAAGCACUUUAAGUUGGGAGGAAGGGCAGAUAAGCUAAUACCUUGCUGUUUUGACGUUACCGACAGAAUAAGCACCGGCUAACUCUGUGCCAGCAGCCGCGGUAAUACGA
RNAcentral lists this ribosomal RNA (178 nucleotides) under Pseudomonas sp. SA07. RNAcentral's name for it is "partial 16S ribosomal RNA". It matches the Rfam family "Bacterial small subunit ribosomal RNA", at positions 358 to 528 of the family's 1533-position model. The record is from RNAcentral. Lineage: Bacteria; Pseudomonadati; Pseudomonadota; Gammaproteobacteria; Pseudomonadales; Pseudomonadaceae.